UACGUAGGUGGCAAGCGUUGUCCGGAAUUAUUGGGCGUAAAGCGCGCGCAGGCGGCUUCCCAAGUCCCUCUUAAAAGUGCGGGGCUUAACCCCGUGAUGGGAAGGAAACUGGGAAGCUGGAGUAUCGGAGAGGAAAGUGGAAUUCCUAGUGUAGCGGUGAAAUGCGUAGAGAUUAGGAAGAACACCGGUGGCGAAGGCGACUUUCUGGACGAAAACUGACGCUGAGGCGCGAAAGCGUGGGGAGCAAACAGGAUUAGAAACCCGUGUAGGCUGACUGACU
RNAcentral lists this ribosomal RNA (280 nucleotides) under Dialister invisus DSM 15470. RNAcentral describes it as "partial 16S ribosomal RNA". It matches the Rfam family "Bacterial small subunit ribosomal RNA", at positions 524 to 805 of the family's 1533-position model. The record is from RNAcentral. Lineage: Bacteria; Bacillati; Bacillota; Negativicutes; Veillonellales; Veillonellaceae.